UGUCCACGCCGUGGCCGACCCGGGGAUCACCGACAGCCGGGCCAUGCCUCGAGUCCCGCCGCCCGCGCCGCUGCUCGGCUUCUCAGAAACGCACCUCCACGCCGCCAGCCGGGGCUCCAGGGUCCACCGCCCGGGCCCGGAGGACUGGCGACUCCCUCCGAGGUUGGGAGCGCUCCGGAUUUCUCCAACUUCAGUUUUGAAAGACAAGUGUUUCAUCGUCUUGAGAACGCUGACUUAUGAUGCCCUUGAUUGGCAUUAAGGAAACAAACUCUGGGAAAGAAUGAUGACGUCCUGUUAUAUUCUCAUCUUUGUAUUGCUCUCUCAAGAAAUAUGGGGGAGGAGGAGCCAGAAGAAGAAACAGCUCGAAGAAUUGACUAUUGUUGCCUCUGGCAAAUGGGAUGAGGAAAUGGGAAGUUAUGAGACAAGGAAAUGAUGAGUUUCAUUACAAGCCUAGAAGUAAUUAAGCGUUUAUGUUACUCAUUUGUACUAUUUUCACUUAAGACAAUGAAAAUUUAUAAUUUCUAAAGAGCAGAAAAGAGCUCGGAAAGGUUACCUGCUUGGUAACCAAUGGCUGUAUGAUAUGUUGCCUGACUGUUAAAUCCAGAAACUGUCAAAAGAUGGGUUUUGUUUAGGUUGAGCCAGACUUUCUCCAGAAGGAGUAACGCACCAAAGGAUCUGUCUGACUCCCACCCCCAUGACCACCUCUAUUUCUGCUCAUCUCCAGCUUGACCGCUGGACCUUCAGGCAGGUCUUCCCUUGUCCCACAGCCAAGUGUUGCCCCUCUCCAUUCAUCUCUUCUACUAUUAUCAUCAGCUGAGUCAGAAAUAGAAGACUCAGUGGACACAAAAAAAGACUAGCUGCCAUUCUGAGCUAGAGGCUGCUUCAGAGGAAGACAGCUGACUUCACUGACCACCCACUCAGUCCCAGGCACUGGACUCUGGGCACCUUUCCAUAUUAUUAUCUUAAUUGAGCAUCCCAACUGAUAUGGCCAGGCUUUAUGUCCCCACUCAAAUCUCAUCCUGAAUUAUAAUCCCCAU
Molecule: long non-coding RNA, 1037 nt
Filed under: Homo sapiens (human)
Lineage: Eukaryota; Metazoa; Chordata; Mammalia; Primates; Hominidae
Description: HSALNT0361271
Source: RNAcentral